AAAUUGAAGAGUUUGAUCAUGGCUCAGAUUGAACGCUGGCGGCAGGCCUAACACAUGCAAGUCGAACGGUAACAGAAAGAAGCUUGCUUCUUUGCUGACGAGUGGCGGACGGGUGAGUAAUGUCUGGGAAACUGCCUGAUGGAGGGGGAUAACUACUGGAAACGGUAGCUAAUACCGCAUAACGUCGCAAGACCAAAGA
This 199-nucleotide ribosomal RNA is filed under the name Escherichia coli. RNAcentral's name for it is "partial 16S ribosomal RNA". It matches the Rfam family "Bacterial small subunit ribosomal RNA", at positions 1 to 207 of the family's 1533-position model. The record is from RNAcentral. Lineage: Bacteria; Pseudomonadati; Pseudomonadota; Gammaproteobacteria; Enterobacterales; Enterobacteriaceae.